Molecule: ribosomal RNA, 491 nt
Filed under: uncultured bacterium
Lineage: Bacteria
Description: partial 16S ribosomal RNA
Rfam family: Bacterial small subunit ribosomal RNA
Source: RNAcentral
AGUGAACGCUGGCGGUAGGCCUAACACAUGCAAGUCGAACGGCAGCACAGUAAGAGCUUGCUCUUACGGGUGGCGAGUGGCGGACGGGUGAGGAAUACAUCGGCAUCUACUUUUUCGUGGGGGAUAACGUAGGGAAACUUACGCUACUACCGCAUACGACCUACGGGUGAGAGCAGGGGAUCUUCGGACCUUGCGCGAUUGAAUGAGCCGAUGUCGGAUUAGCUAGUUGGCGGGGUAAAGGCCCACCAUGGCGACGAUCCGUAGCUGGUCUGAGAGGAUGAUCAGCCACACUGGAACUGAGACACGGUCCAGACUCCUACGGGAGGCAGCAGUGGGGAAUAUUGGACAAUGGGCGCAAGCCUGAUCCAGCCAUACCGCGUGGGUGAAGAAGGCCUUCGGGUUGUAAAGCCCUUUUGUUGGGAAAGAAAAGCAGCAGGUUAAUACCCCGCUGUUCUGACGGUACCCAAAGAAUAAGCACCGGCUAACUUCGU